AGUCAUGUGGUGGAAGGGCCCACAGGCUUACAGUGGUGGCACAGGCCCGGUGUGGGGUCCUAUGGGCUCACAGUGAUAGCAAGUCAGGUUGUGGGAGGCUGUGCUGGUGGUGGCAGAGGCAGCUAGUCCUGCCGCAGCUGUGAGUUCCACAAGUGCCCCCCAGCAGCAGCAAGGCACUCAGCACCCAGCUUAGCUACCUGUGGGGAGGAAGGAGCUCUCAGAGCUGGUUCCUGCAGGCACCCUUCUUCCUUUCCACUGGGGUGUAACAGGGCUGAGAAAGCUGAGAGAAGACCCUGUGCACCAGGCAGCAAGGUCAGUUGCUACCGGGCCAAGUAGGCUGGCACAUGGACAGCACACAGGGAAGCACCUCAGGGCUGAGCCUCCAGUGAGGGGAUGGGGCACCUGGGGCUCUGGAGAGUGUUCAAACCGCGGGGCCAAGGGAGGGCUGGGCAAGUAUCAUCCACCUGCUCUUUCUCUUGCAGAGACAGCCCUGCCAAACCCUCACCCGUCUGACUCCCCUCCCACUGCUAAGUCUUUCAAACUGCUGUGUCUGUGUUGGGUCUUGGCAAGACCAGUAGAGCGUGCCUGUUUUCCACAGUCCACUGGGGUCUAAGCCUCCCAGAGAGUUCCAACUGUCCCUGGUGUCCAGUGCCACUGCAGAACCCAGUGCAAUGUGGACUCAGUUCCCAGAGCAGAUCUCCAGGGCCAGGUGUACAGAGUUCCUGGGUACCUAUCCCCUACCGGCUCCUUUCCUUUUCCUUCUGCCUGUGAGCUGGGAUGGAGGAAGGGAUAGGGUCCUGCUUGGUCAUGGCUCUGCCACUUUGCUCUUUUCUGUGUGGUCGUCUCGUUCCCCAGGUGUAGGUGGUUUGUUCUACAGUCUUCAAUGCAUUUUCAGGAUUAGGUGCAUUUGCUGUCGUUACUUCCUUUGUGUGGGGGGGGCUGGGGUGGGGUGGGGAUUUCUGUCUUGCCUUCCUAUUCCACCAUCUUGAGGCUUCUCCUAAAGGACUAUUUUUUUCCAUCUCAUAGUAAGUCUGAAAGGUGUUUCAUGUCACAAAACCUUAAUUUUACCUUUUAAAUGUAAAGUAAAAAUAGAACUAUUAUGUAAGACAUUUCAUCUUACAGUUAACAACUACAAUGCUUUAUUAUAUAGUUAUUUUACAUAAUAUGAUUUACAUAACCUGAUAUAUCCAAACCUCUGUAAAACCUACAUUGCAGUGGAGUUUACUUACAUUCAUAGCUUUAAAGUAGGUAUUACAGUAAUAAUUUUGGCUCUUUGUGGACUUAAGUAAUUAUCUUCUCUAGAAAAGGUUGACUCAAGAUACAUUUAAUCUCCCUUUAAAAGCCCUGAAGUGUAAAAGUGCACAUCACUCCAUGUUUUAUUUAGAAUGAUCUAUUCUGAGUACUUUAAAGUGCUUAUCCUAAAACUGAUUUGUAUUAGAAAUAGGCCUGUCAGGACACUGGAAUGACCAAAUGACAAAAUUCUAGGAACUUUCCUUUUUUAGACUUUAAACUUUAUUCUUUUUGUGAUUAUUUUGGUUUAUACAACUAGUUUCAACAAAAUUAUGCUGCAGUGAAAACAAGGCCUCAAAAAGUAUAAUGUGGAAUAUUCCCAAUUGGUCCACUUAUUUAAAAUCUGCUUUUACAUUUGAUAAGACUGCCUUACUAUUGUUUUUUUAUAAGGUUAUCAAUCUCUCUGCAUCAAAAUAUGUAUUUAAUUGAAGUCUACAGAAAGUAAACUUUGAAGUCCUAAAAAUAAAGUAGGCAGCCAAGAACUUUAUUGGUCUACCCUUAAUUUUCCAAAACUCAUCAUAUGGUGCUGGUAAUAUCCAAGGACAUUAGAAUAGGAAUAUGAAAUCUAUUUUAUUCUGAUCUGGUAACUUAACAAAUGGUAAUCUCUAUUAUUCACUCAUUUUCCUCAAAGUAACCCAAUAUUGUCCUAAAACAACAACUUUUACCAUAGUGGAGUAAGUACUGCCAAGAGGAGAUUGGUUCUUGUGUUGCUGGCUAUGCAUUAAGAUGUCAUUUUUCAUUCUGCUCUGCCCUAGUAACCUCUACUUUGUAACUGUUUAUUCCUUCUCAAGUGAUUUAAUCAUGACUGGGUGUUUGUGUUGUUUCAGUAUUACACUGUAAAUUCCUUAAAGUAGGAAUCUAAUGAUUCUUUUAGCCCAUGGGGUCCUGCACAUAGUUAUUCAGUUUUCAGCUACAUGGCCUUAAGGGGUUAUCUGGUAUGGAAUUUACAUAUAACCAGUCAACACAUGGCUAUGUAAGGAUUUUAGAUACUUCUCAGCAGCAAUAAAAUCACACAUACACACACACAUUUUAGUUUAUAUGUAUGUGCUUAUUGCUUACAACUGUUAAUGUAAAAGUUAUUACAAAAUGAUUAUUUUCACCAAAGUAGACAGUUCAUUGCUACAUUCAUCAUUGCAUUUACCAUUUAGCUUUCCAAAGAAUCCUAAAGUCACAUCGUUUUUGUUUUUGUUUUUUU
Molecule: long non-coding RNA, 2485 nt
Organism: Manis pentadactyla (Chinese pangolin)
Lineage: Eukaryota; Metazoa; Chordata; Mammalia; Pholidota; Manidae
Exons: 2
Source: RefSeq, a predicted model, not a curated record